Molecule: long non-coding RNA, 815 nt
Organism: Bos taurus (domestic cattle)
Lineage: Eukaryota; Metazoa; Chordata; Mammalia; Artiodactyla; Bovidae
Source: Ensembl
GCUACUCACCAUUUUGGGCACCUUGUCAAAUAAACCAAGAGGCAAAGAGGGGUCAGUUCUGUGUCAGGGAAGUGUUUCAGCGGGGUAAUCCAGGGGAAAUAGGAUUGCUGUUUUACUAUGGGAGUAGGGAGAGGUCUUUCUGGAAUCUUCUGGGAAAAUUACUGUUUGGAAGUUUAAAUAUGGAGAGAAGACCGUACACCGCCUUCUUACCUUCCUUACUGUCCUGGUGAUCCCAUCAGAGGACAGUUUUCCAAAGUUCCUCUGCUUCACAGACCUUGGAAUUUCAUAUUGAGCUAAUUCAAGCGAGUUCUCCAAGAGGAAGUGCAGUUCCUUCCUGCGAAGAGCUCCGGGCUCCCCCCGGUGGCUAUUAUGGGUAUCGCUCCCCCAGGCCCUGCUUCAUUUAUCCCCGAGUUUUCCAAUUUCCCGCUUUCUCUCUUAGAACUCGGCCUUCCUCGAACUUAGCUUUCUCGGCUCUUGCUUCUCGGCUUUUUCUGACCGUUUAUUCAUUCGGAGUCUGCUUUCGGCAUGACGCCUACCAACGGCUCUGGCCCCCAGUACAGGCCACACAGAGCUGGUCAUUGUUGCCCCAGUUCUGGGACCACCCGGGUGGGAGAAGGGGCAGCGCGCCGCCGCGGAGGCCGGAUGACUGACAGCAGCCUCAGGUCAAGUGCCCCGCGGGCCACCCGGAAGGAGCGCGGGUGCCCCCUCCACGUCCCCCUUUGCCCCUUCCAGCGCGAAAUGAGCCCUUCCUUCAGACCCACACAAUUAACAGCAGUAAAAUCUUUAUUUUCAACACUCUGUAUAUGAAUAAAGAC